Molecule: ribosomal RNA, 429 nt
Filed under: Verrucomicrobiota bacterium
Lineage: Bacteria; Pseudomonadati; Verrucomicrobiota
Description: Verrucomicrobia bacterium partial 16S ribosomal RNA
Rfam family: Bacterial small subunit ribosomal RNA
Source: RNAcentral
UAGGGAAUCUUCGGCAAUGGGGGGAACCCUGACCGAGCAACGCCGCGUGAGUGAAGAAGGUUUUCGGAUCGUAAAGCUCUGUUGUUAAGGAAGAACGAGUGUGAGAAUGGAAAGUUCAUGCUGUGACGGUACUUAACCAGAAAGGGACGGCUAACUCCGUGCCAGCAGCCGCGGUAAUACGUAGGUCCCGAGCGUUUUCCGGAUUUAUUGGGCGUAAAGCGAGCGCAGGCGGUUAGAAAAGUCUGAAGUGAAAGGCAGUGGCUCAACCAUUGUAGGCUUUGGAAACUGUUUAACUUGAGUGCAGAAGGGGAGAGUGGAAUUCCAUGUGUAGCGGUGAAAUGCGUAGAUAUAUGGAGGAACACCGGUGGCGAAAGCGGCUCUCUGGUCUGUAACUGACGCUGAGGCUCGAAAGCGUGGGGAGCGAACAGG